Molecule: transfer RNA, 66 nt
Filed under: marine eukaryotic metagenome
Rfam family: tRNA
About the family: Transfer RNA (tRNA) molecules are approximately 80 nucleotides in length. Their secondary structure includes four short double-helical elements and three loops (D, anti-codon, and T loops).
Source: RNAcentral
CAUGUAGCUCAGUCGGUAGAGCACCUCCUUGGUAAGGAGGAGGUCACCGGUUCGAGUCCGGUCGUG